GCACGUUCUCAGGGCGGGGUGUAAUUCCCCACCGGCGGUAGCAGGCAGAAAUGCCUGAAGCCCGCGAGCGCUUCCAGCUUCUGCUGGAAGGUCAGCAGAUCCGGUCAGAUUCCGGAGCCGACGGUAUAGUCCGGAUGAAAGAGAGCAAGC
Molecule: non-coding RNA, 150 nt
Filed under: Phyllobacterium sp. YR531
Lineage: Bacteria; Pseudomonadati; Pseudomonadota; Alphaproteobacteria; Hyphomicrobiales; Phyllobacteriaceae
Also listed under: 1 other name
Description: FMN riboswitch aptamer (RFN element)
Rfam family: FMN riboswitch aptamer (RFN element)
About the family: The RFN element is a highly conserved domain that is found frequently in the 5'-untranslated regions of prokaryotic mRNAs that encode for flavin mononucleotide (FMN) biosynthesis and transport proteins. This element is a metabolite-dependent riboswitch that directly binds FMN in the absence of proteins.
Source: Rfam by way of RNAcentral